CAGCAGCCGCGGUAAUACGUAGGGUGCGAGCGUUAAUCGGAAUUACUGGGCGUAAAGCGUGCGCAGGCGGCUUUGCAAGACAGAGGUGAAAUCCCCGGGCUCAACCUGGGAACUGCCUUUGUGACUGCAAGGCUAGAGUACGGCAGAGGGGGAUGGAAUUCCGCGUGUAGCAGUGAAAUGCGUAGAUAUGCGGAGGAACACCGAUGGCGAAGGCAAUCCCCUGGGCCUGUACUGACGCUCAUGCACGAAAGCGUGGGGAGCAAACAGGAUUAGAUACCCUGGUGGUCCACGCCCUAAACGAUGUCAACUGGUUGUUGGACGGCUUGCUGUUCAGUAACGAAGCUAACGCGUGAGGUUGACCGCCUGGGGAGUACGGCCGCAAGGUUGAAACUCAAAUGAAUUGACGG
RNAcentral lists this ribosomal RNA (407 nucleotides) under uncultured rumen bacterium. RNAcentral's name for it is "bacterial SSU rRNA". It matches the Rfam family "Bacterial small subunit ribosomal RNA", at positions 509 to 916 of the family's 1533-position model. The record is from RNAcentral.